Molecule: unclassified non-coding RNA, 403 nt
Filed under: soil metagenome
Description: partial contains 5.8S ribosomal RNA, internal transcribed spacer 2, and large subunit ribosomal RNA
Rfam family: 5.8S ribosomal RNA (bases 1-120)
Source: RNAcentral
GAUGAAGAACGCAGCGAAAUGCGAUAAGUAAUGUGAAUUGCAGAAUUCAGUGAAUCAUCGAAUCUUUGAACGCACCUUGCGCCCUUUGGACUUCUGAAGGGCAUGCCUGUUUGAGUAUCAUGAACACCUCAACUCCUUAUGGUCUUCCAUGAUGAGCUUGGACUUUGGGGGUUUUGCUGGCCUACAGUCAGCUCCUCUAAAAUAAAUCAGCUUACCGGUGUUUGGUGGGUAUCAUGGGUUUGAUAACUAUCUACGCUCGUGGUUUUCCACCAGGUAACCUUCAGCAGUGGAGGUUCACUUGAGCUCAUAGAUGUCUCUCCUCAGCGAGGACAGCCCUUUGAAUGUUUGAUCUCAAAUCAGGUAGGACUACCCGCUGAACUUAAGCAUAUCAAUAAGCGGAGGA